CAAGUCCACCCGCAAGCUGAGUAGGUCAUGCAUAUGCAGUCUUCUUGGCUGCAGAAGGCAAAGAUGAAUUCUUCAUUUUCGGGACGAGAGCGAGAGCAAGACAGAGAGAGCACCAGGAGGCUGCUGGGAAGCCCCAGAAACCAAUAGGAAUGAAAACGUAACUUGGAGAAACCACAUUCACCAGGAAGUCAAUUUUAUCUGCAAGCUUCUCCACUCCUGAGGAAAUAAGUGAAGACCUAAACUGGUGGGAUUCAAAUUGCACUGAAGUCUAAUCGUACAGAGGCCUGCUUUUUAAACAGCUUCCCUCAGGUCCAAGUGACGCCUUGUUCAUCUGAUCUUUUUCCAGGGAUCAUGGAGUCAAUUCGUUUUCAACUGACCUGCAGAACAGGAGCAAAAAUUCAGGUCAAAGUUUGGCGGACAAAUUCGAGCGUGAAAUUUUAAAAUUCCUUACUAUAUGCAGUUUUAGUUUUUAAAUAUUGUCUUGAGGAUAUUACGUUAAAUAAAGUCUACUGCCUCUACGUGUGGGAAUAAACUCAACAAAAUACAAGAGGGUGAGAGACAUUCUGUUCCUCCAGGGUGAAAAUGUAUUAUGUUUUUUU
Molecule: long non-coding RNA, 599 nt
Organism: Stegostoma tigrinum
Lineage: Eukaryota; Metazoa; Chordata; Chondrichthyes; Orectolobiformes; Stegostomatidae
Exons: 3
Source: RefSeq, a predicted model, not a curated record